Molecule: ribosomal RNA, 255 nt
Filed under: uncultured bacterium
Lineage: Bacteria
Description: partial 16S ribosomal RNA
Rfam family: Bacterial small subunit ribosomal RNA
Source: RNAcentral
UACGGGGGGGGCAAGCGUUGUUCGGAAUUACUGGGCGUAAAGCGCACGUAGGCGGCUUUCUAAGUCGGGGGUGAAAUCCUGGAGCUCAACUCCAGAACUGCCCUUCGAUACUGGAAAGCUCGAGUCCGGGAGAGGUGAGUGGAACUGCGAGUGUAGAGGUGAAAUUCGUAGAUAUUCGCAAGAACACCAGUGGCGAAGGCGGCCUCACUGGCCCGGUACUGACGCUGAGGUGCGAAAGCGUGGGGAGCAAACAGG